Molecule: ribosomal RNA, 208 nt
Filed under: uncultured Gloeothece sp.
Lineage: Bacteria; Bacillati; Cyanobacteriota; Cyanophyceae; Chroococcales; Aphanothecaceae
Description: partial 16S ribosomal RNA
Rfam family: Bacterial small subunit ribosomal RNA
Source: RNAcentral
CACGGCUUUCGCCCAUUGCGGAAGAUUCCUACUGCUGCCUCCCGUAGGAGCAGAGGCAGCAGUGGGAAUUUGCGCAAUGGGCGAAAGCCUGACGCAGCAACGCCGCGUGAGUGAAGAAGGCCUUUGGGUCGUAAAGCUCUUUCCGGGGGACGAGGCUGACGGUACCUCGGGAAUAAGCACCGGCUAACUCCGUGCCAGCAGCCGCGGU